GAGUGCUACUAUCUUUUUAAUUUAAAAAUGUCAACUAAUAGAUGCUGAAUUUCUUAAAUUGCAUUAUCUGCUAAUACUAAUAUUUCCAUAAGCACUAGUUAUAAGUUAUCCAUAAUGAAAGAUAUGGUGAUUUAGUUGUUAUAUUUUUUCUCUAGGUUGUUUGUACUGAAGGACCUGACAGAAUCAGGGAAUUGAUAGCUAUGGGUGCAAUGUUUGAUCAUGGUGAGGACGGUAACCUGCACCUAGCAAGGGAGGGGGGUCACUCUCACCAUAGAAUUGUCCAUGCUGCCGAUAUGACAGGAAGGGAGAUUGAGCGAGCUCUGCUUGAGGCAGUUGUUAAUGAUCCUAAAAUAUCCAUGUUUGAACACCACUUUGCGAUAGAUUUGCUAACUUCUCAGGUUCACUUCUUGAUACUCUUUUUGUCUGUAGGUAUAAUUUAGAUAUUCAAAUAUUUGGUUCAAUAAUUUCUAGAAAUAAUUAGGUCUUGUUAUAAUAUUUUAUUAAUUUUUUCAAAUAGUGAAUUCAGUAACAUAAUUACUUCAAAUUUUUUAAAUGAUUCCGGGUUGAGAGCUUGUAGAUUCCUGUUUCAUGUCUUUACUGACAUGAAAGCCACAACUAGUCCCCUAAAUAGCAUCUGAUAGAUGCUUUUGUGGCUCCUAAAACUUCUUAAUAGUUGUUUCUUACAGCUUUGGCUCAAUGGUGUUUGAUUAUAUUACACCAUAAAAAUAUGUUCUAGUAGAGAAUUUUCAACCAUGCUGUUUUUUUAUGGCUGCAAGCUGGUGCUUUAUAAGAGGGAGGAUGUCUUUUAACCUGAAGCAGGUUUUCCUACAUGCCUUUUUCUUCUUGGAUAAUAUCCUCGUACUGUUGUGUAAGGGUGUCGUGAUGACAGUGAGACAAUCAUAAUUCAUGAUAUAUAUUGUGUCAAAGCUUUCCAAAUAUAUUCUUGGUUAUUAUUUAUUUUGUGGUGGAUGUAAAUCUUCUAGGUCACAUGGAGUAUCCAAGAUAUUGCAAAUCCAAAAAUGUAAUUGUUCUCAAUUUACCAUUGGAGAGCAUUGGAGAUCCCUCAGAAUGAGACCAGUUAGUGUGUCAUCUUGCUUGAGAGAUGGUUCCACUAGGUAUUUUGAUUUUGUUGUCAUUGGAAGUGGAGUUGCUGGCCUUCGCUAUGCUCUUGAAGUUGCAAAACAUGGAACUGUUGCAGUGAUCACCAAGGCUGAGCCUCAUGAGAGCAAUACAAACUAUGCCCAAGGUGGUGUUAGUGCUGUGUUGUGUCCUUUGGAUUCUGUGGAGAGUCACAUGCAGGACACCAUUGUAGCUGGGGCUAAUCUAUGUGAUGAGGAGACUGUCAGAGUAAGAAUUUUUCAUUAUGAUUCUUCUUAGUGCUAUUCUGAGUGCUACUAUCUUUUUAAUUUAAAAAUGUCAACUAAUAGAUGCUGAAUUUCUUAAAUUGCAUUAUCUGCUAAUACUAAUAUUUCCAUAAGCACUAGUUAUAAGUUAUCCAUAAUGAAAGAUAUGGUGAUUUAGUUGUUAUAUUUUUUCUCUAGGUUGUUUGUACUGAAGGACCUGACAGAAUCAGGGAAUUGAUAGCUAUGGGUGCAAUGUUUGAUCAUGGUGAGGACGGUAACCUGCACCUAGCAAGGGAGGGGGGUCACUCUCACCAUAGAAUUGUCCAUGCUGCCGAUAUGACAGGAAGGGAGAUUGAGCGAGCUCUGCUUGAGGCAGUUGUUAAUGAUCCUAAAAUAUCCAUGUUUGAACACCACUUUGCGAUAGAUUUGCUAACUUCUCAGGUUCACUUCUUGAUACUCUUUUUG
This 1808-nucleotide long non-coding RNA is filed under the name Jatropha curcas. Its description in RNAcentral is "long non-coding RNA (JCUR_LNC000264)". Lineage: Eukaryota; Viridiplantae; Streptophyta; Magnoliopsida; Malpighiales; Euphorbiaceae. The record is from RNAcentral.